CACCCUACCAAACUACACAACAGUAUCUCGUUUCUGCCUUGUAACCCGAUUGAUAUAUAUAUACGAGUUCCUACAUAUAUUACAUAUGCAAAAUUAUUAUAGACAUAGCAUAAACUUUUCUUCUCGUGUUAUGUUAGUGUAAUUAGAAUCGAAAUAUACACCGAGUCAGAUUUUAAUCGAAAACUUUCACUCACAGUAAUGAAGUCUUGAAAAUUUACAAAUGGUGGAUCAUCAAAGUGUACAAACCUUGCUGAAUGCUCAAGACAUUCAUUCUUCAAAACCAAAUUCAGAAGAAAAUGGAAAGAAGGGUACCAAUCCCAAUUGGCCUCGCAAAUAAUGGGAUGGUAGCCAUGUGAGCUGUGUCGGCCUUUCUGGCAUCAGCUAGCUGUACAUUCUGGGUCAACCACAAGGCAACAAAAUAAUUUUCUCAUUUGAGGCACAAAAUUAUAAUAAUACCUUCCAUUUCAUAUAUACACUACAAACAAUACAGCAGACAUUGCUAAAUGAAUAGAGCAGCUGACAAUAACAAUCAAAUUUAAUUUCAAGCCUGGGGGGAGAAUAACAUAGCCGAUCCAGGCGGGGUGUCAUUUCUACUUCCAACCCUUUUCACAAUUACCUUUUCAAGAUUCAAGCUUGCAAAAUUUUGUUUCAGGAUCUACUUGCCUUCCUUCUUCCACUAACGGCGGCUAGGCAGCCGAUGACACU
RNAcentral lists this long non-coding RNA (705 nucleotides) under Linum usitatissimum (flax). RNAcentral's name for it is "long non-coding RNA (LUSI_LNC007421)". Lineage: Eukaryota; Viridiplantae; Streptophyta; Magnoliopsida; Malpighiales; Linaceae. The record is from RNAcentral.